This 76-nucleotide transfer RNA is filed under the name Polyangiaceae bacterium. Its description in RNAcentral is "tRNA-Thr". It matches the Rfam family "tRNA". From Rfam's summary of the family: Transfer RNA (tRNA) molecules are approximately 80 nucleotides in length. Their secondary structure includes four short double-helical elements and three loops (D, anti-codon, and T loops). The record is from RNAcentral. Lineage: Bacteria; Pseudomonadati; Myxococcota; Polyangiales; Polyangiaceae.
GCUGGUGUAGCUCAACCGGUAGAGCUCCUGUUUUGUAAACAGGGGGUUAGGGGUUCGAGUCCCCUCGCCAGCCCCA